Folsomia candida is the source of this 527-nucleotide long non-coding RNA. RefSeq lists it as uncharacterized. The transcript is spliced from 3 exons. NCBI's taxonomy places the organism in Eukaryota, Metazoa, Arthropoda, Collembola, Entomobryomorpha, Isotomidae. The record is from RefSeq and is a predicted model, not a curated record.
UGGUUUACCAAAAUCUUACCGUUCAGCGUCACGAUAAAUGUCUUCGUCGGUGGGUGGGAUUCAAAAUUAAUAACGUUUACGAAAACAGGUUCUGUGCAACUGUGGAUGAAGGUAAUGCUGUAAUGAAAUGCGUCUGGCGAGACUUUGGGCCUGCCAGUUGGAUAUAUGGAAGAUACUAUCUAUUGGGGUACGCCAAUAAUUAUUUUAGCAGAAACAAGUCUGGAAGAUGUCACCCUGGUGAUGUGUACUACUUUUCGCUUUGGACGGACGAUACGCUAGCCUGGAUUCGUGACAGUGAUCGUUGCGGUCCAAAUAACUUCGCAUGUGGGAAAGGAGACUGUAUCCCACUCACAAGACUGUGCAACAGGGUAGUGGAUUGUGUUGGGGGAAAUGACGAAAACGAAAUAUUCUGUGCUCAGCUAUACAAUUGUGAAGCAGGGCAAUUCCAGUGUGGUGAUAAAUGCAUUCCUAUGGAGAAAGUCAAGGACGGCGUAGUGGAUUGUGAAGGUGGCGAGGACGAGCUAUAU